RNAcentral lists this transfer RNA (74 nucleotides) under Acetobacter thailandicus. Its description in RNAcentral is "tRNA-Cys". It matches the Rfam family "tRNA". From Rfam's summary of the family: Transfer RNA (tRNA) molecules are approximately 80 nucleotides in length. Their secondary structure includes four short double-helical elements and three loops (D, anti-codon, and T loops). Further hydrogen bonds mediate the characteristic L-shaped molecular structure. tRNAs have two regions of fundamental functional importance: the anti-codon, which is responsible for specific mRNA codon recognition, and the 3' end, to which the tRNAs corresponding amino acid is attached (by aminoacyl-tRNA synthetases). tRNAs cope with the degeneracy of the genetic code in two manners: having more than one tRNA (with a specific anti-codon) for a particular amino acid; and 'wobble' base-pairing, i.e. permitting non-standard base-pairing at the 3rd anti-codon position. Lineage: Bacteria; Pseudomonadati; Pseudomonadota; Alphaproteobacteria; Acetobacterales; Acetobacteraceae. The record is from RNAcentral. RNAcentral also lists the same sequence under 2 other names.
GGUCCGGUGGCAGAGUGGCUAUGUAGCGGACUGCAAAUCCGCGUACGGGGGUUCGAUUCCCUCCCGGACCUCCA